Molecule: ribosomal RNA, 497 nt
Filed under: uncultured bacterium
Lineage: Bacteria
Description: partial 16S ribosomal RNA
Rfam family: Bacterial small subunit ribosomal RNA
Source: RNAcentral
GAUGAACGCUGGCGGCGUGCCUAAUACAUGCAAGUCGAGCGAACAGACGAGGAGCUUGCUCCUCUGACGUUAGCGGCGGACGGGUGAGUAACACGUGGAUAACCUACCUAUAAGACUGGGAUAACUUCGGGAAACCGGAGCUAAUACCGGAUAACAUGUUGAACCGCAUGGUUCAACAGUGAAAGACGGUCUUGCUGUCACUUAUAGAUGGAUCCGCGCCGCAUUAGCUAGUUGGUAAGGUAACGGCUUACCAAGGCAACGAUGCGUAGCCGACCUGAGAGGGUGAUCGGCCACACUGGAACUGAGACACGGUCCAGACUCCUACGGGAGGCAGCAGUAGGGAAUCUUCCGCAAUGGGCGAAAGCCUGACGGAGCAACGCCGCGUGAGUGAAGAAGGUCUUCGGAUCGUAAAACUCUGUUAUUAGGGAAGAACAAAUGUGUAAGUAACUAUGCACGUCUUGAGGGUACCUAAUCAGAAAGCCACGGCUAACUACGUG